This 433-nucleotide ribosomal RNA is filed under the name uncultured bacterium. RNAcentral's name for it is "partial 16S ribosomal RNA". It matches the Rfam family "Bacterial small subunit ribosomal RNA", at positions 29 to 507 of the family's 1533-position model. The record is from RNAcentral.
AACGAACGCUGGCGGCAUGCCUAACACAUGCAAGUCGAACGAGACCUUCGGGUCUAGUGGCGCACGGGUGCGUAACGCGUGGGAACCUGCCCUUAGGUUCGGAAUAACUCCCCGAAAGGGGUGCUAAUACCGGAUAAUGUCUUCGGACCAAAGAUUUAUCGCCUUUGGAUGGGCCCGCGUUGGAUUAGCUAGUUGGUAGGGUAAAAGCCUACCAAGGCGACGAUCCAUAGCUGGUCUGAGAGGAUGAUCAGCCACACUGGGACUGAGACACGGCCCAGACUCCUACGGGAGGCAGCAGUGGGGAAUAUUGGACAAUGGGCGAAAGGCUGAUCCAGCAAUGCCGCGUGAGUGAUGAAGGCCUUAGGGUUGUAAAGCUCUUUUACCCGGGAUGAUAAUGACAGUACCGAGAGAAUAAGCGCCGGCUAACUCCGUG